CCUACGGGUGGCAGCAGUGAGGAAUAUUGGUCAAUGGGCGCGAGCCUGAACCAGCCAAGUAGCGUGAAGGAUGACUGCCCUACGGGUUGUAAACUUCUUUUAUAAAGGAAUAAAGUGUGGCACGUGUGCCUUCUUGUAUGUACUUUAUGAAUAAGGAUCGGCUAACUCCGUGCCAGCAGCCGCGGUAAUACGGGGGAGGCGGGCGUUAUCCGGAUUUAUUGGGUUAAAAGGGUGCGUCGGCGGGCGUUUAGGUUAGCGGGAAAAAUUCGGGGCUCAACCCCGUCCGGCCGGUGAUACUGGGAGCCUUGAGUGGGCGAGAGGAAGGCGGAAUGCGUGGUGUAGCGGUGAAAUGCAUAGAUAUCACGCAGAACACCGAUUGCGAAGGCAGCCUUCCGGAGCACGACUGACGCUGAGGCGCGAAAGUGCGGGGAGCGAACAGGAUUAGAUACCCUUGUAGUC
This 459-nucleotide ribosomal RNA is filed under the name uncultured bacterium. RNAcentral describes it as "partial 16S ribosomal RNA". It matches the Rfam family "Bacterial small subunit ribosomal RNA", at positions 338 to 795 of the family's 1533-position model. The record is from RNAcentral.